CAGCCGCCGCGGUAAUUCGGAGGGCGCGAGCGUUGUCCGGAUUCACUGGGCGUAAAGCGGGUGUAGGCGGUUGGGCAAGUCGGACGUGAAAGCCCGGGGCUCAACCUAGGAAUUGCGCUUGUGACUGGCGGGCUCGAGUACGGUAGAGGGGGGUGGAAUUCCUGGUGUAGCAGUGAAAUGCGUAGAGAUCAGGAGGAACACCGAUGGCGAAGGCAGCCCCCUGGGCCUGUACUGACGCUCAUGCACGAAAGCGUGGGGAGCAAACAGGAUUAGAUACCCUGGUAGUCCACGCCCUAAACGAUGGGUACUAGCCGUUUGGUGCGCGAUAGCGCUGAGUGGCGAAGCUAACGCGUGAAGUACCCCGCCUGGGGAGUACGGCCGCAAGGUUGAAACUUAAAGGAAUUGGCGGG
RNAcentral lists this ribosomal RNA (410 nucleotides) under uncultured microorganism. RNAcentral's name for it is "bacterial SSU rRNA". It matches the Rfam family "Bacterial small subunit ribosomal RNA", at positions 509 to 917 of the family's 1533-position model. The record is from RNAcentral.